RNAcentral lists this long non-coding RNA (352 nucleotides) under Camelus dromedarius (Arabian camel). RNAcentral's name for it is "lncRNA (ENSCDRG00005001903.1)". The record is from RNAcentral. Lineage: Eukaryota; Metazoa; Chordata; Mammalia; Artiodactyla; Camelidae.
CCACCUCCUGGCUGCGCCCCAGCCCGGCCUCUCAGAAGCGGCCGCUUCCUCGUGGACGGUGGAGGCGGCGGCGAGCUAGAGCCCGCGUCCCAGCUCGCGGCCACAGAGAGGCCGGGCGAGCCCGAGCGCGCGGAGACCCAGCCCGGCUCGGCAGGCAGCUCUGCGCGCGGCUGGAGUCAUGGUAUACUGAAAAGGCACUCAAUCAAGAGAAAUCUAGAGGGAGCUGGAAACCAUCAAGUUUUUGAGGCCAUACAGGGGGCAGGAAAGAUAGAGGUUCGCAUUGCCCAGUGUUCUGCAUCCAGCUAUCCUUCCUCACCUUUUUAACCGGACCAUUGUCCUUGGAUCAGGUUUG